GACUUAAUUCUUUGAGCCUUAGUAGAGAAAUCAACUAAGUGAUUGUUUCCACAUUCAGGGAAACCUAGGGUUAAUUUUAUAUAUUAAGGUAAUCCUGAGCCAAAUUUUUAUUUAUAAAAUAGGUGCAGAGACUCGAAGGAAACUAUCCUAACGAAAAAUUUUUUCGGUAUUAAUCAGUAGAAUUUUUUUUGUUUCAUUACAAAAAAAACUAUAUUUGAAAUAAUAAAAAUAUCUAAUAAUUAUUAUUCAUUUUUCAAUCCAUAAUUAUAGACGAGGAUAAAGGGAGAGUCCUUUUUUACAAAUAUAUAUAUAUAAUCUAUAUUUUAUUAUAUGUCAUUGUAAAAAGAAAAUCCGUUGGCUUUAUAGACCUUGAGGGGUUCAAGUCCCUCUACCCCCA
This 397-nucleotide transfer RNA is filed under the name Jubula hutchinsiae subsp. bogotensis. Its description in RNAcentral is "partial tRNA-Leu". The stretch from base 1 to 144 matches the Rfam family "Group I catalytic intron", at positions 6 to 158 of the family's 253-position model. The record is from RNAcentral. Lineage: Eukaryota; Viridiplantae; Streptophyta; Jungermanniopsida; Porellales; Jubulaceae.